Molecule: ribosomal RNA, 92 nt
Filed under: Escherichia coli
Lineage: Bacteria; Pseudomonadati; Pseudomonadota; Gammaproteobacteria; Enterobacterales; Enterobacteriaceae
Also listed under: 2 other names
Source: RNAcentral
CCACCUGACCCCAUGCCGAACUCAGAAGUGAAACGCUGUAGCGCCGAUGGUAGUGUGGGGUCUCCCCAUGCGAGAGUAGGGAACUGCCAGGC